This 253-nucleotide ribosomal RNA is filed under the name uncultured bacterium. RNAcentral's name for it is "partial 16S ribosomal RNA". It matches the Rfam family "Bacterial small subunit ribosomal RNA", at positions 524 to 776 of the family's 1533-position model. The record is from RNAcentral.
UACGUAGGGUGCAAGCGUUAAUCGGAAUUACUGGGCGUAAAGCGUGCGUAGGCGGUCGCGCAAGACAGGUGUGAAAUCCCAGGGCUUAACCUUGGAAUUGCACUUGUGACUGUGCGGCUGGAGUGCGGCAGAGGGGGAUGGAAUUCCGCGUGUAGCAGUGAAAUGCGUAGAUAUUGGGAAGAACACCGGUGGCGAAGGCGGCCAUCUGGACCGCAACUGACGCUGAGGCGCGAAAGCGUGGGGAGCAAACAGG